Molecule: ribosomal RNA, 1956 nt
Filed under: human gut metagenome
Description: bacterial LSU rRNA
Rfam family: Bacterial large subunit ribosomal RNA
Source: RNAcentral
UUAAGUUAAUAAGGGCGCACGGUGGAUGCCUUGGCACUAGAAGCCGAUGAAGGACGUGACUAACGACGAAAUGCUUUGGGGAGCUGUAAGUGAGCAAUGAUCCAGAGAUGUCCGAAUGGGGGAACCCGGCAGGUAAUGCCUGUCACUCAUUACUGUUAAGGUAAUGUAGAGGAAGACGCAGUGAACUGAAACAUCUAAGUAGCUGCAGGAAGAGAAAGCAAAAGCGAUUGCCUUAGUAGCGGCGAGCGAAACGGCAAGAGGGCAAACCGAAGAGUUUACUCUUCGGGGUUGUAGGACUGCAACGUGGACUUAAAGAUUAUAGAAGAACUACCUGGGAAGGUAGGCCAAAGAGAGUAAUAGCCUCGUAUUCGAAAUAGUCUUUAUACCUAGCAGUAUCCUGAGUACGGCGAGACACGAGAAAUCUCGUCGGAAUCUGGGAGGACCAUCUCCCAACCCUAAAUACUCUCUAGUGACCGAUAGUGAACCAGUACCGUGAGGGAAAGGUGAAAAGCACCCCGGGAGGGGAGUGAAAUAGAACCUGAAACCGUGUGCCUACAACAAGUUCGAGCCCGUUAAUGGGUGAGAGCGUGCCUUUUGUAGAAUGAACCGGCGAGUUACGAUAUGAUGCGAGGUUAAGUUGAAGAGACGGAGCCGUAGGGAAACCGAGUCUUAAUAGGGCGCAUUAGUAUCAUGUCGUAGACCCGAAACCAUGUGACCUACCCAUGAGCAGGUUGAAGGUGAGGUAAAACUCACUGGAGGACCGAACCAGGGCACGUUGAAAAGUGCUUGGAUGACUUGUGGGUAGCGGAGAAAUUCCAAACGAACUUGGAGAUAGCUGGUUCUCUCCGAAAUAGCUUUAGGGCUAGCGUCGAUGUUAAGUCUCUUGGAGGUAGAGCACUGUUUGGGUGAGGGGUCCAUCCCGGAUUACCAAUCUCAGAUAAACUCCGAAUGCCAACGAGAUAUAAUCGGCAGUCAGACUGCGAGUGCUAAGAUCCGUAGUCGAAAGGGAAACAGCCCAGACCACCAGCUAAGGUCCCAAAAUAAUUGUUAAGUGGAAAAGGAUGUGGGGUUGCACAGACAACUAGGAUGUUAGCUUAGAAGCAGCUAUUCAUUCAAAGAGUGCGUAAUAGCUCACUAGUCGAGUGACCCUGCGCCGAAAAUGUACCGGGGCUAAAACAAUUUACCGAAGCUGUGGAUACCUUUAUAGGUAUGGUAGGAGAGCGUUCUAUGUGUGGAGAAGGUGUACCGUGAGGAGCGCUGGAACGCAUAGAAGUGAGAAUGCCGGUAUGAGUAGCGAAAGACAGGUGAGAAUCCUGUCCACCGUAAGACUAAGGUUUCCAGGGGAAGGCUCGUCCGCCCUGGGUUAGUCGGGACCUAAGGAGAGACCGAAAGGUGUAUCCGAUGGACAACAGGUUGAUAUUCCUGUACUAGAGUAUAUAGUGAUGGAGGGACGCAGUAGGCUAACUAAACCAGACGAUUGGAAGUGUCUGGCCAAGCAGUGAGGUGUGAUAUGAGUCAAAUGCUUAUAUCUAUAACAUUGAGCUGUGAUGGGGAGCGAAGUUUAGUAGCGAAGUUAGUGAUGUCACACUGCCGAGAAAAGCUUCUAGCGUUAAUUAUACUCUACCCGUACCGCAAACCGACACAGGUAGUCGAGGCGAGUAGCCUCAGGUGAGCGAGAGAACUCUCGUUAAGGAACUCGGCAAAAUGGCCCCGUAACUUCGGGAGAAGGGGCGCUGACUUAUGGUCAGCCGCAGUGAAUAGGCCCAAGCAACUGUUUAUCAAAAACACAGCUCUCUGCUAAAUCGUAAGAUGAUGUAUAGGGGGUGACGCCUGCCCGGUGCUGGAAGGUUAAGAGGAGUGCUUAGCAAUAGCGAAGGUAUGAAUUGAAGCCCCAGUAAACGGCGGCCGUAACUAUAACGGUCCUAAGGUAGCGAAAUUCCUUGUCGGGUAAGUUCC